Molecule: transfer RNA, 84 nt
Filed under: Echinostoma caproni
Lineage: Eukaryota; Metazoa; Platyhelminthes; Trematoda; Plagiorchiida; Echinostomatidae
Rfam family: tRNA
About the family: Transfer RNA (tRNA) molecules are approximately 80 nucleotides in length. Their secondary structure includes four short double-helical elements and three loops (D, anti-codon, and T loops).
Source: Rfam by way of RNAcentral
UGCCUCGUAGCUCAGCUGGUAGAGCGUGCGCUGUCCAAAAGCGCAGGCGGCGUCCAGGCGUGGGUUCGAAUCCCUCUGAGGCUA